GAUGAACGCUGGCGGCGUGCCUAAUACAUGCAAGUCGAGCGAACAGACGAGGAGCUUGCUCCUCUGACGUUAGCGGCGGACGGGUGAGUAACACGUGGAUAACCUACCUAUAAGACUGGGAUAACUUCGGGAAACCGGAGCUAAUACCGGAUAAUAUCUUGAACCGCAUGGUUCAAUAGUGAAAGACGGUUUUGCUGUCACUUAUAGAUGGAUCCGCGCCGCAUUAGCUAGUUGGUAAGGUGACGGCUUACCAAGGCAACGAUGCGUAGCCGACCUGAGAGGGUGAUCGGCCACACUGGAACUGAGACACGGUCCAGACUCCUACGGGAGGCAGCAGUAGGGAAUCUUCCGCAAUGGGCGAAAGCCUGACGGAGCAACGCCGCGUGAGUGAUGAAGGUCUUCGGAUCGUAAAACUCUGUUAUUAGGGAAGAACAAAUGUGUAAGUAACUGUGCACGUCUUGACGGUACCUAAUCAGAAAGCCACGGCUAACUACGUG
Molecule: ribosomal RNA, 497 nt
Filed under: uncultured bacterium
Lineage: Bacteria
Description: partial 16S ribosomal RNA
Rfam family: Bacterial small subunit ribosomal RNA
Source: RNAcentral